This 229-nucleotide ribosomal RNA is filed under the name Staphylococcus aureus. Its description in RNAcentral is "partial 16S ribosomal RNA". It matches the Rfam family "Bacterial small subunit ribosomal RNA", at positions 196 to 420 of the family's 1533-position model. Lineage: Bacteria; Bacillati; Bacillota; Bacilli; Caryophanales; Staphylococcaceae. The record is from RNAcentral.
AAAAGUGAAAGACGGUCUUGCUGUCACUUAUAGAUGGAUCCGCGCUGCAUUAGCUAGUUGGUAAGGUAACGGCUUACCAAGGCAACGAUGCAUAGCCGACCUGAGAGGGUGAUCGGCCACACUGGAACUGAGACACGGUCCAGACUCCUACGGGAGGCAGCAGUAGGGAAUCUUCCGCAAUGGGCGAAAGCCUGACGGAGCAACGCCGCGUGAGUGAUGAAGGUCUUCG